This 437-nucleotide ribosomal RNA is filed under the name Wolbachia endosymbiont of Aphis gossypii. RNAcentral's name for it is "bacterial SSU rRNA". It matches the Rfam family "Bacterial small subunit ribosomal RNA", at positions 992 to 1428 of the family's 1533-position model. Lineage: Bacteria; Pseudomonadati; Pseudomonadota; Alphaproteobacteria; Rickettsiales; Anaplasmataceae. The record is from RNAcentral.
CAUACCUAUUCGAAGGGAUAGGGUCGGUUUGGCCGGAUUUCACACAGGUGUUGCAUGGCUGUCGUCAGCUCGCGUCGUGAGAUGUUGGGUUAAGUCCCGCAACGAGCGCAACCCUCAUCCUUAGUUACCGUCAGGUUAUGCUGGGGACUUUAAGGAAACUGCCAGUGAUAAACUGGAGGAAGGUGGGGAUGAUGUCAAGUCAUCAUGGCCCUUAUGGAGUGGGCUACACACGUGCUACAAUGGUGAUUACAAUGGGCUGCAAGGUCGCAAGGCUGAGCUAAUCCUAAAAAAUCAUCUCAGUUCGGAUUGUUCUCUGCAACUCGAGAGCAUGAAGUUGGAAUCGCUAGUAAUCGUGGAUCAGCAUGCCACGGUGAAUACGUUCUCGGGUCUUGUACACACUGCCCGUCACGCCAUGGGAAUUGGUUUCACUCGAAGCU